RNAcentral lists this ribosomal RNA (503 nucleotides) under uncultured bacterium. RNAcentral's name for it is "bacterial SSU rRNA". It matches the Rfam family "Bacterial small subunit ribosomal RNA", at positions 340 to 864 of the family's 1533-position model. The record is from RNAcentral.
UACGGGAGGCAGCAGUGGGGAAUAUUGCACAAUGGGGGAAACCCUGAUGCAGCGACGCCGCGUGAAGGAUGAAGGAUUUCGGUUCGUAAACUUCUAUCAGCAGGGAAGAUAGUGACUGUACCUGACUAAGAAGCCCCGGCUAACUACGUGCCAGCAGCCGCGGUAAUACGUAGGGGGCAAGCGUUAUCCGGAAUUACUGGGUGUAAAGGGUGCGUAGGUGGUUUGUUAAGUCAGAUGUGAAAGCCCGGGGCUCAACCCCGGGACUGCAUUUGAAACUGGCAAACUAGAAUACAGGAGAGGUAAGUGGAAUUCCUAGUGUAGCGGUGAAAUGCGUAGAUAUUAGGAGGAACACCAGUGGCGAAGGCGACUUACUGGACUGUUAUUGACACUGAGGCACGAAAGCGUGGGGAGCGAACAGGAUUAGAUACCCUGGUAGUCCWCKCUAUGACGAUGAAUACUAGGUGUCGGGGGUCGAACCUCGGUGCCGCAGCUAACGCAAUUAA